This 524-nucleotide ribosomal RNA is filed under the name uncultured bacterium. RNAcentral's name for it is "bacterial SSU rRNA". It matches the Rfam family "Bacterial small subunit ribosomal RNA", at positions 355 to 896 of the family's 1533-position model. The record is from RNAcentral.
UGGGGAAUAUUGGACAAUGGACCGAGAGUCUGAUCCAGCAAUUCUGUGUGCACGAUGAAGCUUUUCGGAAUGUAAAGUGCUUUCAGUUGGGAAGAAAGAAAUGACGGUACCAACAGAAGAAGUGACGGCUAAAUACGUGCCAGCAGCCGCGGUAAUACGUAUGUCACGAGCGUUAUCCGGAUUUAUUGGGCGUAAAGCGCGUCUAGGUGGUUAUAUAAGUCUGAUGUGAAAAUGCAGGGCUCAACUCUGUAUUGCGUUGGAAACUGUAUAACUAGAGUACUGGAGAGGUAAGCGGAACUACAAGUGUAGAGGUGAAAUUCGUAGAUAUUUGUAGGAAUGCCGAUGGGGAAGCCAGCUUACUGGACAGAUACUGACGCUGAAGCGCGAAAGCGUGGGUAGCAAACAGGAUUAGAUACCCUGGUAGUCCACGCUGUAAACGAUGAUUACUAGGUGUUGGGGGUCGAACCUCAGCGCCCAAGCAAACGCGAUAAGUAAUCCGCCUGGGGAGUACGUACGCAAGUAUG